This 490-nucleotide ribosomal RNA is filed under the name uncultured bacterium. RNAcentral describes it as "partial 16S ribosomal RNA". It matches the Rfam family "Bacterial small subunit ribosomal RNA", at positions 30 to 507 of the family's 1533-position model. The record is from RNAcentral.
AUUGAACGCUGGCGGCAGGCCUAACACAUGCAAGUCGAACGGUAACAGGAAGAAUCUUGCUUCUUUGCGGACGAGUGGCGGGCGGGUGAGACAUGUCUGUGAAACUGCCUGAUGGAGGGGGAGAACUACUGGAAACGGUAGCUAAUACCGCAUAACGUCGCAAGACCAAAGAGGGGGACCUUCGGGCCUCUUGCCAUCGGAUGUGCCCGGAUUGGCUUCGCUUGUAGGUGGGGUAACGGCUCACCUAGGCGACGAUCCGUAGCGGGUCUGAGAGGAUGACCAGCCACACGGGAACUGAGACACGGUCCAGACUCCUAUGGGAGGCAGCAGUGGGGAAUAGUGCACAAUGGGGGGAAGCCUGAUGCAGCCAUGCCGCGUGUAUGAAGAAGGCCUUCGGGUUGUAAAGUACUUUUAGCGGGGAGGAAGGGAGUAAAGUUAAUACCUUGGGUUAUUGACGUUACCGGAAGAAGAAGCACCGGCUAACUCCGUG